CGAGCUGGCCGGGCAGUCGCUGUCUCAUUUCUCUGAAAUGGGGUGGAGGAAAGUCCGGGCUCCAUAGGGUAAGGCGCCAGGUAACGCCUGGGGGGCGUGAGCCUACGGAAAGUGCAGCAGAGAGUAGACCGCCUAAGUCUACUCCGGCAACGGAGUAGACCGGUAAGGGUGAAAGGGUGCGGUAAGAGCGCACCGCGUGACUGGUAACAGUUCAUGGCACGGUAAACCCCGCCUGGAGCAAGGCCAAAUAGGGAUUCGAUGGUGUGACCCGCACUGAAUCCGGGUAGGCUGCUAGAGGUGCAUGGUGACAUGCAUCCCAGAUGAAUGACUGUCAGACCUGUUCGCAGGUGCUACAGAACCCGGCUUAUAGGCCAGCUCGCCAC
Molecule: RNase P RNA, 383 nt
Filed under: Oceanospirillales bacterium LUC14_002_19_P2
Lineage: Bacteria; Pseudomonadati; Pseudomonadota; Gammaproteobacteria; Oceanospirillales
Description: Bacterial RNase P class A
Rfam family: Bacterial RNase P class A
About the family: Ribonuclease P (RNase P) is a ubiquitous endoribonuclease, found in archaea, bacteria and eukarya as well as chloroplasts and mitochondria. Its best characterised activity is the generation of mature 5'-ends of tRNAs by cleaving the 5'-leader elements of precursor-tRNAs. Cellular RNase Ps are ribonucleoproteins.
Source: Rfam by way of RNAcentral